AGCAGCCGCGGUAAUUCCAGCUCCAAUAGCGUAUAUUAAAGUUGUUGCAGUUAAAAAGCUCGUAGUUGAAUUUCGGGAUUGACACAUCGGUCGUGCCUUAAGGGGUAUGAACUGGUGUAGUCAAUUUCUCACCUUCUGGAGAACCGCGAUGUCCUUAAUUGGGUGCCGCGAGGAACCAGGACCUUUACUUUGAAAAAUUAGAGUGUUUAAAGCAGGCAUUUUUGCUUGAAUACAUUAGCAUGGAAUAAUAAAAUAGGACGGCAUGAUUCUAUUUUGUUUGGUUUCUAGGAUCACCGUAAUGAUUAAUAGGGAGUAGUUGGGGGCUAUUAGUAUUCAAUUGUCAGAGGUGAAAUUCUUGGAUUUAUUGAAGACUAACUACUGCG
Molecule: ribosomal RNA, 383 nt
Filed under: uncultured Entrophospora
Lineage: Eukaryota; Fungi; Glomeromycota; Glomeromycetes; Entrophosporales; Entrophosporaceae
Description: SSU rRNA
Rfam family: Eukaryotic small subunit ribosomal RNA
Source: RNAcentral